AAAGGGUGACGAAGCGACGCCGCGUGUGGGAAGAAGGCCUUCGGGUUGUAAACCACUGUCGGGAGUUAAGAAGUGUAAGGGUGUUAAGAGCAUCCUUGCUUGACGUUAGCUCCGGAGGAAGCCACGGCUAACUCUGUGCCAGCAGCCGCGGUAAUACAGAGGUGGCAAGCGUUGUUCGGAAUUAUUGGGCGUAAAGAGCACGUAGGCGGCCCUGCAAGUCAGCUGUGAAAUCCUUCUGCUCAACGGAAGAACGGCAGUUGAUACUACAGGGCUCGAGUGCGGGAGGGGAGAGUGGAACUUCUGGUGGAGCGGUGAAAUGCGUAGAUAUCAGAAGGAACAUCGGCGGCGAAAGCGACUCUCUGGCCCGUAACUGACGCUGAGGUGCGAAAGCUAGGGGAGCAAACGGGAUUAGAUACCCCGGUAGUCCNAGCCGUAAACGAUGGGCACUAAGUAGAGGGGUUU
This 462-nucleotide ribosomal RNA is filed under the name uncultured Planctomycetota bacterium. Its description in RNAcentral is "bacterial SSU rRNA". It matches the Rfam family "Bacterial small subunit ribosomal RNA", at positions 378 to 831 of the family's 1533-position model. Lineage: Bacteria; Pseudomonadati; Planctomycetota. The record is from RNAcentral.